AGACAGGGCCAACAGCAACAGUCUAGUCUACAGGGACAAGGCCAACAGUCUAGUCUACAGGGACAAGGCCAACAGUCUAGUCUACAGAGACAAGGCCAACAGUCUAGUAAGGCCAACAGUCUAGUCUACAGAGACAAGGCCAACAGUCUAGUCUACAGGGACAAGGCCAACAGUCUAGUCUACAGGGACAAGGCCAACAGUCUAGUCUACAGGGACAAGGCCAACAGUCUAGUCUACAGGGACAAGGCCAACAGUCUAGUCUACAGGGACAAGGCCAACAGUCUAGUCUACAGGGACAAGGCCAACAGUCUAGUCUACAGGGACAAGGCCAACAGUCUAGUCUACAGGGACAAGGCCAACAGUCUAGUCUACAGGGACAAGGCCAACAGUCUAGUCUACAGGGACAAGGCCAACAGUCUAGUCUACAGGGACAAGGCCAACAGUCUAGUCUACAGAGACAAGGCCAACAGUCUAGUCUACAGAGACAAGGCCAACAGUCUAGUCUACAGAGACAAGGCCAACAGUCUAGUCUACAGAGACAAGGCCAACAGUCUAGUCUACAGGGACAAGGCCAACAGUCUAGUCUAUAGAGACAGGGCCAACAGUCUAGUCUACAGAGACAGGGCCAACAGUCUAGUCUACAGAGACAAGGCCAACAGUCUAGUCUACAGGGACAAGGCCAACAGUCUAGUCUAUAGAGACAGGGCCAACAACAACAGUCUAGUCUACAGGGACAAGGCCAACAGUCUAGUCUACAGGGACAAGGCCAACAGUCUAGUCUACAGGGACAAGGCCAACAGUCUAGUCUACAGAGACAAGGCCAACAGUCUAGUCUACAGGGACAAGGCCAACAGUCUAGUCUACAGGGACAAGGCCAACAGUCUAGUCUACAGGGACAAGGCCAACAGUCUAGUCUACAGAGACAAGGCCAACAGUCUAGUCUACAGGGACAAGGCCAACAGUCUAGUCUACAGGGACAAGGCCAACAGUCUAGUCUACAGGGACAAGGCCAACAGUCUAGUCUACAGGGACAAGGCCAACAGUCUAGUCUACAGGGACAAGGCCAACAGUCUAGUCUACAGGGACAAUGCCAACAGUCUAGUCUACAGGGACAAGGCCAACAGUCUAGUCUACAGGGACAAGGCCAACAGUCUAGUCUACAGGGACAAGGCCAACAGUCUAGUCUACAGGGACAAGGCCAACAGUCUAGUCUACAGGGACAAGGCCAACAGUCUAGUCUACAGAGACAAGGCCAACAGUCUAGUAAGGCCAACAGUCUAG
This 1281-nucleotide long non-coding RNA is filed under the name Oncorhynchus mykiss (rainbow trout). Its description in RNAcentral is "lncRNA (ENSOMYG00000067428.1)". Lineage: Eukaryota; Metazoa; Chordata; Actinopteri; Salmoniformes; Salmonidae. The record is from RNAcentral.